UCUCAGCUAUGGGUCUAUGUAUACUUCCCAUCAUUAGCCCCAGAGCUGGAGAGUUGGAGGUGGCGGGGAUUCUCAUGACCCCAUAUUCAUUGGUGUUCGAGGGCCCGCACCGGCCGAGACCUCGAGAGACCCUCCUUAACCUGCGACAGUACUUCGACACUGUGCGACAUUCAGAGAUCACAUGGCAGCCCUGGGUGUCCCUGGGUGAUGGUCUCCGACUUCAGUAUACCGGAGCAUCGGACAUCUCCUAGUAUAGGGUCCUGCUUGAAGGGCCGGUUGGCAGGGCAUGGUUCCUGGGGGAGCGCUUUCUGCGCC
Camellia sinensis is the source of this 315-nucleotide non-coding RNA. The record is from RefSeq and is a predicted model, not a curated record. Lineage: Eukaryota; Viridiplantae; Streptophyta; Magnoliopsida; Ericales; Theaceae.